GCCCUACCAGACUGGUUAGUGCAAUUGGUAAAGCACGAGAUUCUUAAUCUCAGGGUUGUGGGUUCGAGCCCCAUGUUGGGCA
This is a non-coding RNA of Podarcis lilfordi (Lilford's wall lizard), 82 nucleotides long. Lineage: Eukaryota; Metazoa; Chordata; Lepidosauria; Squamata; Lacertidae. The record is from the annotation of a GenBank genome assembly.